This 374-nucleotide ribosomal RNA is filed under the name uncultured organism. RNAcentral describes it as "partial 16S ribosomal RNA". It matches the Rfam family "Bacterial small subunit ribosomal RNA", at positions 527 to 896 of the family's 1533-position model. The record is from RNAcentral.
GGGGGGGGCAAGCGUUUGUUCGGAAUUACUGGGCGUAAAGGGCGCGCAGGCGGCCUGGCAAGUCCUACGUGAAAUCCCACAGCUUAACUGUGGAACUGCGUGGGAUACUGCCAGGCUUGAGUCCGGGAGAGGAGAGUGGAAUUCCCAGUGUAGCGGUGAAAUGCGUAGAUAUUGGGAGGAACACCGGUGGCGAAGGCGGCUCUCUGGACCGGUACUGACGCUGAGGCGCGAAAGCUAGGGGAGCAAACGGGAUUAGAUACCCCGGUAGUCCUAGCCGUAAACUUUGAGCACUUUGUGUGGCGGGUAUCGACCCACUGCCGUGCAGAAGCUAACGCAUUAAGUGCUCCGCCGUGGGGAGUACGGUCGCAAGGCUG